This 245-nucleotide ribosomal RNA is filed under the name Salmonella enterica subsp. indica serovar 45:a:e,n,x. Its description in RNAcentral is "partial 16S ribosomal RNA". It matches the Rfam family "Bacterial small subunit ribosomal RNA", at positions 1 to 244 of the family's 1533-position model. Lineage: Bacteria; Pseudomonadati; Pseudomonadota; Gammaproteobacteria; Enterobacterales; Enterobacteriaceae. The record is from RNAcentral.
AAAUUGAAGAGUUUGAUCAUGGCUCAGAUUGAACGCUGGCGGCAGGCCUAACACAUGCAAGUCGAACGGUAACACAGAGAGCUUGCUCUCGGGUGACGAGUGGCGGACGGGUGAGUAAUGUCUGGGAAACUGCCUGAUGGAGGGGGAUAACUACUGGAAACGGUGGCUAAUACCGCAUAACGUCGCAAGACCAAAGAGGGGGACCUUCGGGCCUCUUGCCAUCAGAUGUGCCCAGAUGGGAUUAG